ACGCAGGCGUGCCUGCGCAGUGCGCGGAGGAGUGCUGUUCGUGUGUUCGAGUCCCUGGGUUGCUUCCUGGGGUCUGUGGUGCUGGGUGUGCUAUCUGCGUGUGAUUCUCUAGCGAGAGAUUGUGGGCGAGUGACCGAGUGGGCAAGGGGCCGUCACUGUGUGUGCGUGAUUUUGACAGUGUGUGGUGGUAGCUUCUGACUCCGCGUGGGUCGUUGAAUGUAUGACUGGGACCGUUUAGCGGUGGAUACACAACUGUGUGCGGCUGUGGAAGAUUGCCUCAUCCGUUACGUUCCCAUUUCCGUGGAACAACAGUUUUACCAGAAGGUUUCGAAGGAACCUUAAAGUUUGGAAGCGUAAGAGUUUAUCUGGCGGCUUUGGUGUCAUCAAAUGUGAGAAGCCCUGGACUUUACACAUCCCGAGCCAGUGUGAUCCAGUAUGAUUGGGAGUCCGAGUGCCAGAUGCCGGU
RNAcentral lists this long non-coding RNA (466 nucleotides) under Homo sapiens (human). RNAcentral's name for it is "HSALNT0398835". The record is from RNAcentral. Lineage: Eukaryota; Metazoa; Chordata; Mammalia; Primates; Hominidae.